GACGAACGCUGGCGGCGUGCUUAACACAUGCAAGUCGAACGGUGAAGUAGAGCUUGCUCUAUGGAUCAGUGGCGAACGGGUGAGUAACACGUGGGCAACCUGCCCCAGACUCUGGGAUAACUCCUCGAAAGAGGGGCUAAUACCGGAUAUUUGCAUUGCAAGACAUCUUGUGAUGCAGAAAGAAUUUCGGUCUGGGAUGGGCCCGCGGCCUAUCAGCUUGUUGGUGAGGUAACGGCUCACCAAGGCGACGACGGGUAGCCGGCCUGAGAGGGCGACCGGCCACACCGGGACCGAGACACGGCCCAGACUCAUACGGGAGGCAGCAGUGGGGAAUAUUGGGCAAUGGGCGCAAGCCUGACCCAGCAACGCCGCGUGAGGGAUGAAGGUCCUCGGAUUGUAAACCUCUUUCAGCAGGGACGAAGCGAAAGUGACGGUACCUGCAGAAGAAGCACCGGCUAACUACGUGCCAGCCGCCGCUGUAA
Molecule: ribosomal RNA, 482 nt
Filed under: uncultured bacterium
Lineage: Bacteria
Description: partial 16S ribosomal RNA
Rfam family: Bacterial small subunit ribosomal RNA
Source: RNAcentral